This 253-nucleotide ribosomal RNA is filed under the name uncultured bacterium. RNAcentral's name for it is "partial 16S ribosomal RNA". It matches the Rfam family "Bacterial small subunit ribosomal RNA", at positions 524 to 776 of the family's 1533-position model. The record is from RNAcentral.
UACGUAGGGUGCAGGCGUUAAUCGGAAUUACUGGGCGUAAAGCGUGCGCAGGCGGCUUCCUAAGUCAGAUGUGAAAUCCCCGGGCUUAACCUGGGAACUGCGUUUGAAACUGGGAGGCUCGAGUGCGGCAGAGGGGGGUGGAAUUCCACGUGUAGCAGUGAAAUGCGUAGAUAUCGUUUGGAACGCCAAUGGUGAAAACAGACAGCUGGGAGUGUGCUGACGCUGAGACACGAAAGCGUGGGGAGCAAACAGG